UUCUCUCCUCAGCCCUUUGGCUAAGAUCAAGUGGAAUAUCAGUUCUUAUCAGUUUAAUAUCUGAUAAGUGCUUUCUCUGAGGUUAAUAUAUUAAAAGGAUUUUUGGAAAUAGAAGAUGGAAGAGGAACUUUUUCCAUUCACUAUACGCAUCACCCUAUAUUGCAGAACUUCGAGGAACUACAUACCACCU
Molecule: small nuclear RNA, 190 nt
Organism: Talpa occidentalis (Iberian mole)
Lineage: Eukaryota; Metazoa; Chordata; Mammalia; Eulipotyphla; Talpidae
Product: U2 spliceosomal RNA
Exons: 1
Source: RefSeq, a predicted model, not a curated record